RNAcentral lists this ribosomal RNA (467 nucleotides) under uncultured bacterium. RNAcentral's name for it is "partial 16S ribosomal RNA". It matches the Rfam family "Bacterial small subunit ribosomal RNA", at positions 28 to 507 of the family's 1533-position model. The record is from RNAcentral.
GACGAACGCUGGCGGCGUGCUUAACACAUGCAAGUCGAACGGAAAGGCCCUGCUUUUGUGGGGUGCUCGAGUGGCGAACGGGUGAGUAACACGUGAGUAACCUGCCCUUGACUUUGGGAUAACUUCAGGAAACUGGGGCUAAUACCGGAUAGGAGCUCCUGCUGCAUGGUGGGGGUUGGAAAGUUUCGGCGGUUGGGGAUGGACUCGCGGCUUAUCAGCUUGUUGGUGGGUAGUGGCUUACCAAGGCUUUGACGGGUAGCCGGCCUGAGAGGGUGACCGGCCACAUUGGGACUGAGAUACGGCCCAGACUCCUACGGGAGGCAGCAGUGGGGAAUAUUGCACAAUGGGCGGAAGCCUGAUGCAGCAACGCCGCGUGCGGGAUGACGGCCUUCGGGUUGUAAUCCGCUUUCGCCUGUGACGAAGCGUGAGUGACGGUAAUGGGUAAAGAAGCACCGGCUAACUACGUG